RNAcentral lists this ribosomal RNA (465 nucleotides) under uncultured bacterium. Its description in RNAcentral is "bacterial SSU rRNA". It matches the Rfam family "Bacterial small subunit ribosomal RNA", at positions 338 to 795 of the family's 1533-position model. The record is from RNAcentral.
CCUACGGGUUGCAGCAGUGGGGAAUAUUGCACAAUGGGCGCAAGCCUGAUGCAGCCAUGCCGCGUGUGUGAAGAAGGCCUUCGGGUUGUAAAGCACUUUCAGCGGGGAGGAAGGCGAUAAGGUUAAUAACCUUGUCGAUUGACGUUACCCGCAGAAGAAGCACCGGCUAACUCCGUGCCAGCAGCCGCGGUAAUACGGAGGGUGCAAGCGUUAAUCGGAAUUACUGGGCGUAAAGCGCACGCAGGCGGUCUGUCAAGUCGGAUGUGAAAUCCCCGGGCUCAACCUGGGAACUGCAUUCGAAACUGGCAGGCUAGAGUCUUGUAGAGGGGGGUAGAAUUCCAGGUGUAGCGGUGAAAUGCGUAGAGAUCUGGAGGAAUACCGGUGGCGAAGGCGGCCCCCUGGACAAAGACUGACGCUCAGGUGCGAAAGCGUGGGGAGCAAACAGGAUUAGAUACCCGCGUAGUC